GACGAACGCUGGCGGCGUGCUUAACACAUGCAAGUCGAACGGAAAGGCCCUGCUUUUGUGGGGUGCUCGAGUGGCGAACGGGUGAGUAACACGGGAGUAACCUGCCCUUGACUUUGGGAUAACUUCAGGAAACUGGGGCUAAUACCGGAUAGGAGCUCCUGCUGCAUGGUGGGGGUUGGAAAGUUUCGGCGGGUGGGGAUGGAGUCGCGGCUUAUCAGCUUGUUGGUGGGGUAGUGGCUUACCAAGGCUUUGACGGGUAGCCGGCCUGCGAGGUUGACCGGCCACAUUGGGACUGAGAUACGGCGCAGACUCCUACGGGAGGCAGCAGUGGAGAAUAUUGCACAAUGGGCGGAAGCCUGAUGCAGCAACGCCGCGUGCGGGAUGACGGCCUUCGGGUUGUGAACCGCUUUCGCCUGUGACGAAGCGUGAGUGACGGUAAUGGGUAAAGAAGCACCGGCUAACUACGUG
RNAcentral lists this ribosomal RNA (468 nucleotides) under uncultured bacterium. RNAcentral describes it as "partial 16S ribosomal RNA". It matches the Rfam family "Bacterial small subunit ribosomal RNA", at positions 28 to 507 of the family's 1533-position model. The record is from RNAcentral.